UACGUAGGGUGCGAGCGUUGUCCGGAAUUAUUGGGCGUAAAGAGCUUGUAGGCGGUCUGUCGCGUCUGCUGUGAAAAUCCGGGGCUCAACCCCGGACUUGCAGUGGGUACGGGCAGACUAGAGUGUGGUAGGGGAGACUGGAAUUCCUGGUGUAGCGGUGAAAUGCGCAGAUAUCAGAAGGAACACCGAUGGCGAAGGCAGUGAUCUGGGCCAGUACUGACGCUGAGGAGCGAAAGCGUGGGGAGCGAACAGG
RNAcentral lists this ribosomal RNA (253 nucleotides) under uncultured bacterium. RNAcentral describes it as "partial 16S ribosomal RNA". It matches the Rfam family "Bacterial small subunit ribosomal RNA", at positions 524 to 776 of the family's 1533-position model. The record is from RNAcentral.